Molecule: non-coding RNA, 2444 nt
Organism: Salmo salar (Atlantic salmon)
Lineage: Eukaryota; Metazoa; Chordata; Actinopteri; Salmoniformes; Salmonidae
Source: RefSeq, a predicted model, not a curated record
UGAUGUCUGAGGAACUCAGUAAAAUCACUGUCAAGACACCUGUCAGUUACAGGAAAUGACAUAAAACCCAGAGUUCUUCUUUCAAUGCACAUUCUCUCAGAGAGCGAGUCAGAGGUGAGACCAGAGCUACAACAUGUGUUGUUCCUGCUCUGCUUGAGGCUGGCUGCUUUUCUUCACAAUCCUACAACUGUUAUUCUCCCAGAAUGUCCUUCAGAUUGAUGGCAUGGGUUUCAUUGUCACCCUUUGGAUGUCUUGCAGCAGUGAAAAUGACCUAGAUGAACGUCUGUCUCCAGUCAGAUGGGUGUGUGUUAAUGGUGAAGGACCUAGAUGAACGUCUGUCUCCAGUCAGAUGGACUAUCUUCACAGCAGGUGUGGUCUCCUUUCUCCUUGGCAUCACGGGUCUGCAUGGAGCUCGUAAGAAGAACAAGAACUUCCUGAUCAUGGUACGUUCAGUUCUUAAAGGGGCAAUCUGGGAUUCAAACAUUGCCAUCAUCCUUCUGCUAUUUUGUAAACCGCUGAGGGAUGGGGCUUGAAAAAUGUAACCACACUCAAACCCUAAGAUGGUUGAACUACGCUCCUGAGGCCUUUAUAAAUUACAUUCUUCAAGAAUAAAUAGCUACAUAUCAUUAAUUUGAAAGUCCAAAAUCUGGUUUAUCAAUCCCAGAUAUCCCCUUUAAUAAAGCCCAAAUUUCAUUGGUAAUGUCAACAAAUGAAAUACUUUAUUAUUUGAUCCGUUUAUUACUAAGACCAAGUUAAGUAUACUGUAUCACUUAGUACAGUGUAUUUCCCCCAAUAUAAUGUUUAUUAUUUACUAUAUUCAUGUGGUGUCACGUCCUGACCAGCAGAGGGAGGUAGUGUAUCAGUUGUGGUCAGGAUGUGGCAGGUGGUUUGUGUUUGUUAAAUGUUGUGUGGGUGAUUGGACUCCCAAUUGAAGGCAGGUGUGUUGAGUUGCCUUUGAUUGGGAGUCCUAUAUAGGAGUGUGUGUUUUUCUUUGGGGUUGUGGGUAGUUGUUUGUGAUCACUGCUUGUUUAGCCUGUCACACUGUUGCUGUCGUGAGUAUUGUUUUGUUGGUUUUCAUGUGGAUGCUCUACUUGUUUCUCAUCAAUAAACAUGAGUAUCCACAUUCCCGCUGCGCCUUGGUCCAUUCGUAACGACGGUCGUUACAUGUGGUGAUGUAGUAUUCUGUUGGAUCUUGUCUUGGAUGCAUUGGACUCAGGUUUCUGGCCUACUACCUUCCACCACAGCUUCCAAAUAUAAAAGCCUUGUAUGAAGAGUACAUCCCAUUGCACACAAAUGGAAGAGAUCUGGUAGGACUGACGGUACUGCAAACCAUUGGGGGAUGCUGUGGAUUGGUCAACGUGUAUGAAGAUUGGGGUUCUAAAUGCUAUCCUCUCUGACUAGAGUCCUGUGUUCUUACUGAGUAUGGCUAUGUGUACAAACAAGCCAUUGAAAUGCUUCUGGCGUUGGUAAUGACCCGUAGAAUCCAAAAAGCCUCCUCGGCUGAGGUGACCGUGGCUCUUACUUAUAGAAACGCAACCAACAUGGAAAUGGCAACUACUCCUCAUCUUUACACCAGCGCUUAUUAUCCACCACCUCCGUACCAGUACGAUGGGAAAACUAGAGGGACGUGACUGACCAGUGAACCCAUGUUGAAUUUCCUCAUUGGUAACGGCUGGACUAGGGCUGGGUUUAAGACUAGGGGUAAAGUUAGGGUUGGGGUCAGUUUUAGUGUUUUCCUUCUUCAGACUGCCAAUGUGUUGCACUCCAAUAUGCCUUAAUAAAGGCUGAGCACUGCUGUUUAAUGUGAGACAAUGUAGAAGUUUGUGGGUUCUGGAAAUAACGUGGCCGAGGGAAGGGGUCCAUUACAUUGUCAAACAAUCACCCACGUGAAGCACCAGUUUUCCUGUCUGGUAACUCCAAUAACAUCAAAUAAACUUGGUCUCAUUUUCUAAAGUUCUAAACUCUAAUGUUUAAUUCAGUUAAUCAUUUGUUGGCUUUCAGUGAUGUGUAUAAAGGGUUAAUUCUUUUUUUUCUUGUGGAGGUUGUCAGGGCUGCUUUGUAAUUUCCCAUCAUCCUGUUCCAACAGUAUUAUGCCUCGCAUGCACGUAUACACAGUACGUGCAGAUCAGUGCUGUAAAAAAUACAAAACCACAGUACAGCACAUUGUUUUCAAAGGAAUGGAAAACUAUGCUUGUCGUGAGAAUUGUAACCACAAGAGUGUAGAUGGGACACACUUCCAACUAUUGAAAAAGCCCCUUUGUUUUUACUCUGUUUAAAUGUAAGACUGUAUAACUGAACUGCAACCUGGCGGAAGUGAUUACUGUGGUCAUACUAAAAUGCAGGUGUCACGUCCUGACCAGUAAAAGGGGUUAUUUGUUAUUGUAGUUUGGUCAGGGCGUGGCAGGGGGUGUUUGUUUAGUGUGUUUCAGGGUUUUGGUUUAUGU